UGGGGAAUAUUGCACAAUGGGCGCAAGCCUGAUGCAGCCAUGCCGCGUGUAUGAAGAAGGCCUUCGGGUUGUAAAGUACUUUCAGCGGGGAGGAAGGUGUUGUGGUUAAUAACCACAGCAAUUGACGUUACCCGCAGAAGAAGCACCGGCUAACUCCGUGCCAGCAGCCGCGGUAAUACGGAGGGUGCAAGCGUUAAUCGGAAUUACUGGGCGUAAAGCGCACGCAGGCGGUCUGUCAAGUCGGAUGUGAAAUCCCCGGGCUCAACCUGGGAACUGCAUCCGAAACUGGCAGGCUUGAGUCUUGUAGAGGGGGGUAGAAUUCCAGGUGUAGCGGUGAAAUGCGUAGAGAUCUGGAGGAAUACCGGUGGCGAAGGCGGCCCCCUGGACAAAGACUGACGCUCAGAUGCGAAAGCGUGGGGAGCAAACA
RNAcentral lists this ribosomal RNA (427 nucleotides) under uncultured bacterium. Its description in RNAcentral is "partial 16S ribosomal RNA". It matches the Rfam family "Bacterial small subunit ribosomal RNA", at positions 355 to 774 of the family's 1533-position model. The record is from RNAcentral.